UUUCAUCUGGCAGAUAAAUGUAACAAAUUUAGGAUUUGUAGAUAAAUUAAAAAUUUGAUGAAAU
This 64-nucleotide transfer RNA is filed under the name Calanus sinicus. RNAcentral's name for it is "tRNA-Leu". Lineage: Eukaryota; Metazoa; Arthropoda; Copepoda; Calanoida; Calanidae. The record is from RNAcentral.